UCGACUCGGGAUCCCAAGUCGGGACGUGUCAAGCUCGUGCAGCAAAGAAGAGGACAUCACUCCUCUGCCUUAGUCCCUUACCCCCUUCAGAAGAAAUGGGAAGCCCAUGAUCUCUUCCUUCUCCUAAACCUUUUUGACAGCUAGCACCAAAUUUUUAUUCUCCUUUCUCCUUCUCUUCCUCAUUCUCCUCGUUCUCGUAGCUUUCCUUCUCCGUGUGAAAAGAAACAAAGAAAGGAGAUCGGCCCCGAAAAGAAAGCUGUAUCAUGGGCUGCGUACAAGCCAAGUGCUGGCUUCGCUGCCGCCGGUGCUGCUGCCGCUGCCAGCUCUCCUCCGCCGGCAGCGACGGCGCCGCCUCCCGUGACGGCGACCCCGGCCACGGCCGGCACAUCAUCUCCGGCAGCCCCGUGGGCUCCGCCGCCGUCCCCUCCCACCGCCUCCUCCUCCAGUUCUCCUCCCUCUCCCAGCGCGGACACUACCCCGACACCCCCGAUCGCGAGAACCAGGACACCUUCUGCAUCAAGACCCAGCUCCAAGGCAACCCGAACCUCCACCUCUUCGCCGUCUUCGACGGCCAUGGCUAUUUCGGUGCCCAGUGCGCCGCUUUCGCCCGCGACCACCUCGUCGAAGACCUCGCCGGCGACCCCCAUCUCCUCGAAGACCCCGUCAAAUCCUUCAAUUCCGCCUUCCUCUCCACCAAUUCCGAACUCCACAACAGCGAGAUCGACGACACGAUGAGCGGCACGACGGCGAUCGCCGUCCUCGUCGGUGGCGACACGCUCUUCGUCGCGAACGUCGGCGACUCGAGAGCGGUCGCCGGCGUCUGGGACGGGGAGCGGGUGGUGGCGGAGGACUUGUCCAGUGAUCAGACGCCGUUCCGGGAGGAUGAGUAUGAGAGGGUCCGGCGGUGCGGGGCGAGGGUGCUGAGCGUCGACCAGGUGGAGGGCAUAAAGGAUCCGGCAAUUCAGAGCUGGGGGAUGGAGAGUGAAGGGGACCCGCCGAGGCUGUGGGUUCAGAAUGGCAUGUACCCUGGGACGGCGUUCACGAGGAGUGUCGGGGACUCGACGGCGGAGAGCAUCGGUGUCGUCGCCGUGCCGGAGGUCAUGACGGUGAGGAUCACGCCGAGCCAUCUCUUCUUUGUCGUGGCGAGCGACGGGGUUUUCGAGUUCCUCUCGAGUCAGGCUGUGGUGGAUAUGGUGUCCAGAUACCCAGAUCCCCGAGAUGCCUGCUCAGCAAUUGCUGCAGAAUCCUACAAAUUAUGGUUAGAGCAUGAAAUUCGGACUGAUGAUAUAACGAUCAUUGUCGUGCACAUCAGAGACUUGUGUGGUUCAGAUGCUGUAGCAACUAAUGAAGCAAGUCAUGCUGGCACAAAAGCUUCCUUAAUGGUUUCACAGAAAGCAAGAACAGAUAUAUCUGCAUCCCCAGGGCCAGAAACUGGUCAUCCAAAAAGAAGGAAUUUCCUUGAGCUGCAGUCAUGUCCUUCUGACUUUUCCCUGGAACGAAGUCUUGCAUGUGUUGCUCCUUCUCCUACACACUCGUUAUCUAUAGAAAAGUGAUAUGUCCAGACUGACUGACUGACUGAAGCUGCCUGGUAUUUGUCCUACCUUCCAAUGAUAAGUUCAGCAAUGGUGGAGGGAAUAACUUAAUUCCUUGUGGGUUUUUAAUUCCAGGAAUCCAUUAUCAGGAGCUUUCUUUUAUCAUCUUGGCCACAUUUCCAGUAUGUCACCUUUUACACCACUUGUAUAUAACUCAAAGGCUGUUCAAAGCAGUGCUGAUUUGAGGAAAAAAUGGUGCCUCUUGACCUUUUCAAGGACUAUUGAGUGGCCAUUGCUGCAUGGAGGUGGAAGAUGGUUGUGCGGUAUUUGGCAUCCUACCUGUUAAUUUAUUGCAGAAAGCAUGGGGGAUGAAGCGUCAAAUGGUCGGCAUAUGAAAUGCCUGUGUUAGGAAGUUAAGGUUUAUAAUAAGGUGAUGAACAACACUCCCAGGAAAAGCAUAGACAAACCAUGCAACUGCUUCGUCUUUUGGAGAAAUGUUAUUUCCUUGGUUAAAUGAAGGAAUGAGAUUGGUCAUCUUGUACAUAACUAACUAGACUAGUUAUGUGAAACAUGCUUGAAAAAUGCUAAAUAGUGGCAAGUCUCUACCUACCAAAAAAGAGAGAAGAAAUAAUAGUAAUGUUGUUGCGUUACUUUGCA
Molecule: RNA transcript, 2189 nt
Organism: Phoenix dactylifera (date palm)
Lineage: Eukaryota; Viridiplantae; Streptophyta; Magnoliopsida; Arecales; Arecaceae
Gene name: Protein phosphatase 2C family protein
Source: RefSeq, a predicted model, not a curated record